UUAUAGGAAAAGAAACCACUCUUAGUUUAUGCCAAACUCAUUCAACAAUUCAUUUACUGAGAAGAUGCAUCCUUUCCCAGUAAAGACAUAAAAAAACUAGCAAAAAACGAAGGAAUAAGGGUGCUUAAACGCCAUAAAGAUGGAAGAAGUUUAACAAUGAUAGAUUUAGCAGCCCAACCAGUGAGGAAGACGAUGAUGAACACGACAGUAUUAAAAACAAAGGCUUCUUUGUAUGUGAAUAGAUAAGUUCCAGCAGUCACUUGAUAGCGAUAGUAUUGAAGCCUUAACCAACUCAUAGGUUCGGGUUCAAACACACAGUCAUAAUCCUUUUUAGCCUUAAUAACA
This is a non-coding RNA of Schizosaccharomyces pombe (fission yeast), 345 nucleotides long. The record is from the annotation of a GenBank genome assembly. NCBI's taxonomy places the organism in Eukaryota, Fungi, Ascomycota, Schizosaccharomycetes, Schizosaccharomycetales, Schizosaccharomycetaceae.